Molecule: non-coding RNA, 1659 nt
Organism: Podarcis lilfordi (Lilford's wall lizard)
Lineage: Eukaryota; Metazoa; Chordata; Lepidosauria; Squamata; Lacertidae
Source: the annotation of a GenBank genome assembly
CUCGUAUGUACGGGACCGCCUCUCCUGGUAUGCCCCACGGAGGACCCUACGGUCUGCAGAUAAUAAUAUCUUGGAGGUCCCAGGCCUCAAGGAGGUUAAACUGGCCUCAACCAGGGCCAGGACCUUUUUGGCUUUGGCCCCAGUUCUAUCACAGGAGACCAGGGCCCUGCGGGACUUGACAUCCUUCCGCAGGGCCUGCAAUAUGGAGCUGGCUUUCGGUCUGGGCCCAGUUUGACCCCCCUCUAUGGGACCCUGCAAGAUGCCUCUUUGGCCCUUUUAUCGGCUCAUGUGGGACCAACAUGGAUAGCUGGCCCUGAUGAAUACUUGAGGUCCCCGAUCCCUAUGGUUAUAAUUCAUGGGCAGUCAUUUAAUUUUAUCAUAAUUCUAAUUUUUAAGCUGUAUUUGAAUCAAUUGUUUGAUUGUGUUUUAAUGUAUUUGAUAUUUGAUGUUAGCCGCCCUGAGCCCGAUCUUGGCUGGGGAGGGUGGGGUAUAAAUAAAAAUUUACUUUACUUACUUCCUUACUUACAUAUGAACCUGCCCAGGUUUUGAGAUCUUCAGAGGAACCCCCUUAUCUCAGUCUUCCACAGGCACACUUGGUGGGGACAUGAGAGACGGCUUUCUCCAUGGGUGCUCCCAGAUUCUAGAACACCCUUUCUGGAGAAGGUAGAACAGCUCCUUUGUUGUCCUUCCAUCAACAUGUGAAGACUUUCUUAUUCCAACAGGCUCUGGGGAACUGACUGCUCUUUAAUGAAUGAGCUGAUGUUGUGCUGUUUUUAUUGUAAUAAUCUAUGUGGCUUUAAAGGGACGUGGGUGGUGCUGUGAGUUAAACCACAAAGCCUAGGACUUGCCGAUCAGAAGGUCGGUGGUUCGAAUCUCCGCAACGGGCUGAGCUCCCGUUGCUCAGUCCCUGCUCCUGCCAACCUAGCAGUUCGAAAGCACGUCAAAGUGCAAGUAGAUAAAUAGGUACCGCUCCAGCGGGAAGGUAAACGACAUUUCCAAGCGCUGCUCUGGUUCCCUGGAAGCGACUUAGUCAUGCUGGCCACAUGACCUGGAAGCUGUAUGCCGGCUCCCUCGGCCAAUAAAGCGAGAUGAGCACUGCAACCCCAGAGUCAGUCAUGACUGGACCUAAUGGUCAGGGGUCCCUUUACCUUUACUAUGUGGCUUUAAAUGGAUCUUGUUAUGUAUGUACAUACGUAUGUAUGUUAAUGAUCCCCCCUAUGUUUUUAGCUGUUCCUAUUUUAAGCUGCUUUGAGUCCCUAUCAGGUAAAAAUGCAGAAUCAUCGUCAUCAUCCAUACUAUGCGCUUCUAGAUGCUGCCAAGAAUUGCUUUCUCUUGAAUAUGGCAUAUAUAUAUAUGGCUUGGUUCAACAGAUUCCUCUUUUGUUCAGAGCUGACCAGCUGUAAAUAUAGCAGAAGUGACAGUACUGUUUGUUUGUUUUUCAGGUCCUGGGUUUCCAUCUCAUAUUUUCAUGGUGCUCCACUUUCAGUGCUGUGGAGCUUCUUGAAGCCUGUUUCAAGCAUAAAAUUAUAAAAGAAUUGUUCCCCACAGGCUUUCUAAUGCCAUAGCAAAUCCAGUAGCAAUGCACUCUGCUGGUCAACAGAUGGCAGCAUGAAACUACCCAACAGAAAACGAACAACUUUGGAAGUUAAGCAAUUAAGG